Molecule: long non-coding RNA, 260 nt
Organism: Vidua macroura (Pin-tailed whydah)
Lineage: Eukaryota; Metazoa; Chordata; Aves; Passeriformes; Viduidae
Exons: 2
Source: RefSeq, a predicted model, not a curated record
CACAACCCUGAGCAGCUGGGGGACCCCAUCCCUCCACUGCCCCUGAACUAUUCCUCUGUCCAGGUCCUUCUCCCCAGGUCCCUGUGAGACUCCCAAACCAGGACUGGGCUUUGGGCAAACAUCCCUGCUGAGUCUUGCCCCACCAGAUGUCAGUAGGUGUGAACACCUAUACAAAUCUGGAUGAAAAUGGUGCAGCAAGAAAUUCAGCCUGAAUGUCUUUAUACAGGAAAGAAGAAAGAAAACCAGCCUUGUCAAACUGA